Molecule: transfer RNA, 97 nt
Filed under: Pseudomonas fluorescens
Lineage: Bacteria; Pseudomonadati; Pseudomonadota; Gammaproteobacteria; Pseudomonadales; Pseudomonadaceae
Also listed under: 1 other name
Description: tRNA-Gly
Source: RNAcentral
GCUGGCGCCGGCGGCCAUGGAGCGGCUCAGCCAUUACCAUUGGCCGGGUAACGUGCGUCAACUGGAGAACGUGCUGUUCCAGGCGGUUUCCCUGUGC